RNAcentral lists this ribosomal RNA (376 nucleotides) under uncultured bacterium. RNAcentral's name for it is "bacterial SSU rRNA". It matches the Rfam family "Bacterial small subunit ribosomal RNA", at positions 362 to 758 of the family's 1533-position model. The record is from RNAcentral.
UAUUGGACAAUGGGCGCAAGCCUGAUCCAGCCAUGCCGCGUGAGUGAUGAAGGCCUUAGGGUUGUAAAGCUCUUUUAGCGGAGACGAUAAUGACGGUAUCCGCAGAAAAAGCCCCGGCCAACUUCGUGCCAGCAGCCGCGGUAAUACGAAGGGGGCUAGUGUUGCUCGGAAUCACUGGGCGUAAAGCGCACGUAGGUGGGUCGUUAAGUCGGGGGUGAAAUCCCGGAGCUCAACUCCGGAACUGCCUUCGAUACUGGCGACCUUCGAGUCCGGGAGAGGUGAGUGGAACUGCGAGUGUAGAGGUGAAAUUCGUAGAUAUUCGCAAGAACACCAGUGGCGAAGGCGGCUCACGGCCCGGUACGACACGAGGGCGAAG